UACAGAGGUCUCAAGCGUUGUUCGGAUUCAUUGGGCGUAAAGGGUGCGUAGGCGGCGCGGUAAGUCGGGUGUGAAAUCUCGGAGCUUAACUCCGAAACUGCAUUCGAUACUGCCGUGCUUGAGGACUGGAGAGGAGACUGGAAUUUACGGUGUAGCGGUGAAAUGCGUAGAUAAUCGGGGAGGAACACCUGUGGCGAAAGCGGCUCGUCUGGACCACAACUGACGCUGAGGCGCGAAAGCUAGGGGAGCAAACAGG
RNAcentral lists this ribosomal RNA (256 nucleotides) under uncultured bacterium. Its description in RNAcentral is "partial 16S ribosomal RNA". It matches the Rfam family "Bacterial small subunit ribosomal RNA", at positions 524 to 776 of the family's 1533-position model. The record is from RNAcentral.